This is a long non-coding RNA of Lagopus muta (rock ptarmigan), 2359 nucleotides long. RefSeq lists it as uncharacterized. Lineage: Eukaryota; Metazoa; Chordata; Aves; Galliformes; Phasianidae. The transcript has 3 exons. The record is from RefSeq and is a predicted model, not a curated record.
CUCAGCCCCUCCCACAGCCAAACUGCCCCCAGCUGUGCUGCAGGGCCGCACCUGAGGCAAGGAUGGAGUCAGCUGUGGGAGCGCAGAACAUUGUGUGAAGUGAGUUAAAGAGUUCCUGUUCUGGUCCUUGGGUGCCUUUCUGGGCUCUCGGAUAGGAGGAGAAGAGCAGCGUUCCUGGAGGACCUGGAGUACAGAGGAAGGAAGGUGGAGCUCCUGGCUGCACCGAAGUGGACAGAAAGGAAUGCUGGUUUUCUCUCCAAACUCCGUGGGGCUCAGUCAGGCUCUGUGCAGCUCUGUUGUGCUUUGUGGGGCUCUGUUGGUCUCUGUAAGGGUCUUUGGGUCUUUGUGGGUCUCUCUGGGGCUGUACAGCACUCUGUAUGGUUCCUUAGGACUCUGUGGGGCUUUUAGGGGUUCUGUGGGGCUCUGUAGGGUUGCACCACAGAGACUUUCAAAGAUCUACAGGGCACUACAGAAUCCUACAGAAGCUAACGAUGCUCCUAAUAGCUCACAGAGCCCUGCAGAACCCCAGAAAGGUGCACGGAACCCCGCAGUGCCCUCUAAAGCCCUUCAGAGCCCCCAUCAAACACUGCGAAGCCCGAGUUUCAAACACCUCUGAAAAUGUGAGUAUUGUGGGGGCUUAUUGGUUUUGGGGAUCCCACUCUUUUGAUCAGUGAUUAAUUAGUGGCUAAUUAGUUGUUCAUUAGUGAUGCAUAUUGCCUCCCUCAUAUAAUAAUCUCAAUUUUCUAAUUUGGGUGGAAAUAAACCCCCUUUUUAUUGUUUGAUGUUGUCCGCCGCUCUUUCUAAUUAAUUAAGGGUGUAAUUAAUGUUUUUAGUGGCUUAUAAGCUGCUCGCUACUGAUCCUUAGUGCCCCCACACACUCAUAAAAUAACCCCAAUUUGGUCUUUUUUGUGGGAAAAUAAACCCACGGAGCGGCUCUCCGCACUCCCCCCUUCCCUCGCUGUGCAUGCAGUACCGAACGGCAGCAGUGAGCGACAGUGUGCUACUGCGCGUGCGCGGAGUCGGGGCGGGCAGCAGUCGGUCACGUGUUGUGUUGAGCCAAUCGGGUGCCGGCACGGGCGCUUUGGCCUCUGGGAGAAAAGCAAACCGUUUCAAGGGCAGAUUCCGAUAAAAUCUCGGAAAAUAGACAAGGAAAAUUAUGGAAUCGAAGGGGGGAAAUUUCUCUGAGCCGAACUUCCAGGAAUUGUCAGCUCGCUUGUAGCCGAAUGUUGCGUAGGAAUGGGUGUUAGUUUCAUGGCUUUUGCGCAUGCGCCCUACAGCCUGGAGGACUAAAGGCAAUCAAGUUUGGCUGCACAGAGCGGUCGGAAUAUAGUUCCGCGUGUCUGUGCGCAUGCGCAGUGCUAUCUGCACUACUGAAUUGUCUCCACUGUGCAGCAGUAGUGAGCAACGCAGACGGUCACGUGCUACGCUAAGCCAAUUAGGUGCGAGUAUUCUGGCGCAUGCGUGCUAUCUCUUGGAGGACUGAUCAACCACAAAGACUGGCGGAUCAGUUGCGCAGAGCGGUCAGAACUUUGAGAAGCCAUUUUCGCUUUUGUGCGCAUGCGCUGUGCUGCCCUCUCAGCACCAAGCAGCUGCAGUUCCAGAGAUGGAUCACCAGGUGGCAGCAGAGACCGUGGAAUGAACCCCGAUGGCCUCGAGGCGGAUCGGCGGCUCGGCGGCUUUCCGUUCGUUCUUUUUGAUGCCAGGUGGAAAAACUCCAAGUUAGAAGAAAAGGGGUUAAAAAAAAUAAAGGGGCUCGAUUUACAUGUGAAAAAAAUUAAUUCUGCUGCAUCAAAAGAAUCGAUGCGGUGCAGAGCUGUGCAGGGUGCACUGAGAGCCUCUCGAGUGGGUGCACGCGCUGCUGUCUGCUGCUGCCCCUCUCCGUUAACUUCAGGAUUUGGAUUACUCAUAGCAUUACUGUUAUGGUGACUUACUUAGAUCUGUGUGGAUUACGGUGGCUUAUCUGGAUUACUUUCAGUGGAUUUGGUGGUUGAAGGUAUGACCAUUUUUACAGGACCUGUUAUUACAGACAGGCAACGCAGAGCAUAAACGGCGCAGCGACGCUCUGUCGUGCUCUGAAGCGCCGUGUGGGUCCUAUGUCCCCCCCCAGGGGCUGCGUGCUCCCUGUUCUCCUCUGAUCCCCACCAUCCCCCAGAGCCGCCCCUCCUGCAGUUCCGCGCUUUGGUCACGCAGCCUCACAGCUCGGCUCUUCCUCUUUGGAUUCCAGGGGCUGUAUUUAAUUUGCGAGAGGAAAAAGCCGCCGAUAAUUCGCGACAUCCUCUCGUUAUCUCAGAGCGCCCUGCUAUGAAGCAGCGGUGCAGCGGGAAGCCACGGGUCCUACGAGACUCCAUCAGACACUGCA